Long non-coding RNA from Lacerta agilis (Sand lizard), 196 nucleotides. RefSeq lists it as uncharacterized. The transcript has 2 exons. NCBI's taxonomy places the organism in Eukaryota, Metazoa, Chordata, Lepidosauria, Squamata, Lacertidae. The record is from RefSeq and is a predicted model, not a curated record.
CCUGCCUGGGGAAGCUGUUGCUAGGAGACCGAAGGGACUCGGCCUGCAGCAACGAGGGGGGAACAGGGAGGCAUUUCUGUCUUUUCUGGUCUCAUCAGACGUGUUCCUCACAAAGCUUUGGUAGUGUUGGUGGAGAAGCCUUCAUAGCUAGCCUGUGAGACAGUGGAUUGACCCAGAUUUGAAGCUUCAGCCAAGG